CUUCCUGCUUUACAUUUCUAGCUUCCUCAUUAUGUAGCACCAUUGGAGCGUUGCUGAGUUGCUCAUGUUCUACUCUUCCACCUUCAUCAUCAGGUUGCAGCAUUGCUGUGUCACUGAGUUGCUCCUGUUCCACUUUUGUAGCUUCGCCAUCAGGUUGCAGCAUUGCAGUGUCACCGGUCGGUUCAUGUUUGGAUGGCCAAGCGUCUUCAUCAGGUUGCAGCAUUGCAGUGUCACCGGUCGGUUCAUGUUCGAUUGGCCAAGCUUCAUCAGGUUGUAUCAUUUCAGUGUUGGUCAAUGGAUCUUCUGUUGUUAC
This 313-nucleotide long non-coding RNA is filed under the name Triticum aestivum (bread wheat). RNAcentral describes it as "long non-coding RNA (TAES_LNC008704)". The record is from RNAcentral. Lineage: Eukaryota; Viridiplantae; Streptophyta; Magnoliopsida; Poales; Poaceae.